UUCCAGGUGGCUCAGUGGUUGAGCGUCUGCCUUCAGCGCAGAUCAUGAUCCCGGGGUCCUGGGAU
This 65-nucleotide transfer RNA is filed under the name Canis lupus familiaris (dog). The record is from Rfam by way of RNAcentral. RNAcentral also lists the same sequence under 1 other name. Lineage: Eukaryota; Metazoa; Chordata; Mammalia; Carnivora; Canidae.